Molecule: ribosomal RNA, 338 nt
Filed under: Phytosciara flavipes
Lineage: Eukaryota; Metazoa; Arthropoda; Insecta; Diptera; Sciaridae
Description: partial 16S ribosomal RNA
Source: RNAcentral
UUUUUUAAUUGAAAACUUGUAUGAAUGGUUGAAUGAGAAAUUAACUUUUUUAAUAUAAAAAUUGAAUUUUACUUUUUAGUUAAAAGGCUAAAAUUUAUUUAAAAGACGAGAAGACCCUAUAGAGUUUUAUAAUUAAGGUUAUAUUUUUUAAUAAGUUUAUUUAACAAUAUAUAAAUUAAAUUAUUUUAUUGGGGUGAUAAUAAAAUUUAAUAAACUUUUAUUAGUUAUUUAACAUUAAUAUAUGAUUAAUUGAUCCAAUAAUAUUGAUUAAAAAUUUAAAUUACCUUAGGGAUAACAGCGUAAUUUUUUUUUAAGUUCUUAUUAAUAAAAGAUUUUGC